Erinaceus europaeus (western European hedgehog) is the source of this 377-nucleotide long non-coding RNA. RefSeq lists it as uncharacterized. The transcript is spliced from 3 exons. The record is from RefSeq and is a predicted model, not a curated record. NCBI's taxonomy places the organism in Eukaryota, Metazoa, Chordata, Mammalia, Eulipotyphla, Erinaceidae.
GACCAACAGGGGAGAGGGGACCCCCUGGGCUCCUGGAUAUGCCUCAACCAGACUAUGAAUAUCACCAUUAAAAUGGAAUGGCUCCACUACCAGUGACUAAGGACCUGUCCCAGGAACAGGAUGACUCCAGAUCAGUUUCCAGCUGCCAGGAGUCCUUCAUUUUGGAGCAGCUACUAGAGGACACCCCAGGUCUCUGCGCUGGGGGUGACUCUACCUGGACCCUGAACAACUCUGUUGAUAGAGGCCACCAGAAGAGCAUCUUGGUAGCUAUGUACCAGAGCAGUGACACUCUCACCACCCUCCAUGAUGUGGAAAGCAUCAGGCAGAGCUCCCUGUCCAACUGUCUGCACGGGGCCCUCUCAUGGCUUUCAAUUUUU